UACGUAGGUGGCAAGCGUUGUCCGGAUUUACUGGGCGUAAAGAGCGCGCAGGCGGUCGUGCAAGUCGCGUGUGAAAGCCCCCGGCUCAACUGGGGAGGGUCACGCGAUACUGAUCGACUCGAAGGCAGGAGAGGGUAGUGGAGUUCCCGGUGUAGUGGUGAAAUGCGUAGAUAUCGGGAGGAACACCAGUGGCGAAGGCGACUACCUGGCCUGUUCUUGACGCUGAGGCGCGAAAGCUAGGGGAGCAAACGGG
This 253-nucleotide ribosomal RNA is filed under the name uncultured bacterium. RNAcentral's name for it is "partial 16S ribosomal RNA". It matches the Rfam family "Bacterial small subunit ribosomal RNA", at positions 524 to 776 of the family's 1533-position model. The record is from RNAcentral.